AUUGAACGCUGGCGGCAGGCCUAACACAUGCAAGUCGAGCGAGCGGCGGACGGGUGAGUAAUGCCUAGGAAUCUGCCUGGUAGCGGGGGAUAACUACGCGAAAGCGUAGCUAAUACCGCAUACUAUUGGAGCGGCCGAUAUCGGAUUAGCUAGUAGGUGGGGUAACGGCUCACCUAGGCGACGAUCCCUAGCUGGUCUGAGAGGAUGACCAGCCACACUGGAACUGAGACACGGUCCAGACUCCUACGGGAGGCAGCAGUGGGGAAUAUUGCACAAUGGGCGCAAGCCUGAUGCAGCCAUGCCGCGUGUGUGAAGAAGGCCUUCGGGUUGUAAAGCACUUUCAGCGGGGAGGCGUUACCCGCAGAAGAAGCACCGGCUAACUCCGUGCCAGCCGCCGCGGUAAUUC
This 406-nucleotide ribosomal RNA is filed under the name uncultured bacterium. RNAcentral's name for it is "partial 16S ribosomal RNA". It matches the Rfam family "Bacterial small subunit ribosomal RNA", at positions 30 to 526 of the family's 1533-position model. The record is from RNAcentral.